This 450-nucleotide ribosomal RNA is filed under the name uncultured bacterium. Its description in RNAcentral is "partial 16S ribosomal RNA". It matches the Rfam family "Bacterial small subunit ribosomal RNA", at positions 354 to 796 of the family's 1533-position model. The record is from RNAcentral.
GUGGGGAAUAUUCCGCAAUGGACGAAAGUCUGACGGAGCAACGCCGCGUGAGUGAUGAAGGUUUUCGGACUGUAAAGCUCUGUUGUUUAGGACGAAAGUGCCUGUUGCAAAUAGUUACAGGUAUUGACGGUACUGAACGAGGAAGCCACGGCUAACUACGUGCCAGCAGCCGCGGUAAUACGUAGGUGGCAAGCGUUGUCCGGAAUUAUUGGGCGUAAAGAGCAUGUAGGCGGGAAUCUAAGUCUGUUGUGAAAAUGCGGGGCUCAACCCCGUAUUGCGAUGGAAACUGGGUUUCUUGAGUGCAGGAGAGGAAAGCGGAAUUCCCCGUGUAGCGGUGAAAUGCGUAGAUAUGGGGAGGAACACCAGUGGCGAAGGCGGCUUUCUGGACGGUGUCUGACACUGAGGCGCGAAAGCCAGGGGAGCGAACGGGAUUAGAAACCCGGGUAGUCC